UGAAAUAAGCACUAAAAAUAAAUUCGAAUAUUGCUAUCUGAUACUAUCGUGAAUCUUAGUUUAUACUUUGACCUUAAAGCUAUUUAUUAUUAUAAGUUAUUUCUUAUAGAGAUUUGUUUACGUCUAUCAAUAUAUAGGUCUAUACUAAAUUGAAAAAAAAAGUACUCUACAGUUAAACUAAAGGAUCUAUAUGUAGGAUGAAGGGUUUUUAUAUUAUUUCAUACUGUGAUAACGUAUCAUAUAAGUGAAUGAACAUUGGAUCCACUUCUGCAAAGUUCGAUCCAGCUGUUCCGCAGAAGGUCUGGUCCAUUAAAAGAAUCAUUUCAAGCUUAUCACUGCUGGGUUUAGAUGGUGUCAAAAGUGGAGAUGUAGUCAACACUUAGACAACCAAAUCAAUCAUUUAGCUAAACCAAUUUAAAGUGGUGUUCAAGCAGGAAUCUGGCAGCAUUUAUUACCAUCUCUCAUUUCCUUCAUUCUAAAAUUCAAAUUCAAAGACAUCACAUGCUGAUGAAUGGAAGUGGAUUGUAUAGUAUACUGAUUUUAUAACAGUUUACAAGUUUCAUAAAUUGUACCUAGUAUAAUUUCUCUUUUUUUUUUAAAUCUUAAAUAUGAUUUACAUAAUUUGUUUUUUUAUUAAAGGAUGUAACAUUAACUUUUAAGUGGGAUAUAUAUAAUUUUAAAAUAAAAAACAGACCAAAUUCUUUUCUUGAAAAAUUUUCGUGAUGACAAAAUUUCUCAAUACUUUGCAUUAAUUAUCUUUUUGAUGAAUUAAAGACCUUGCAAUGUAUAGAGCAGAUGAUGUUAAGGUCAUUCAUUUCUUCAGCCAAUAGUUAACAAGAAGAGUGUCAUGUGGCCAGCACAACGACCAACCAUAUUUACUUUUCCCAAACUAAAGUCAGGUACCCAUUAGAGUUGGGUGGACUUGGGCACCCUAAAGAUCCUAAUAUUAAAAAUCACAGUCUUCGCCAAGAUUCGAACCCAGGACCACGGGUUCAAAAGCCAAGCACUUAACUCAGCCAACGUGCCCCCUUUUUUUGAUGAAUAUUUUUCCAGACUUAUUGACUUAUCUUGACAUUUAUACAAUAUUUCAUUUCUUUUUGUCAAUAACAUAUGUAUGUGUUUGAUUUUAUGCCUAUGCAAAAUUUUAUUAUUGUUGAUGUAUAAAAAAGAAUUUUGUGAUAUGUUACAACUAUAGUAUUUGAGCCUGUACAUUUGUUUUUAUGCUUUACAUCAUACACAACUAACAGUGGGUUCAUGGAAUAAACAUUUCAAUCAACCAA
Biomphalaria glabrata is the source of this 1280-nucleotide long non-coding RNA. RefSeq lists it as uncharacterized. NCBI's taxonomy places the organism in Eukaryota, Metazoa, Mollusca, Gastropoda, Planorbidae. The record is from RefSeq and is a predicted model, not a curated record. The transcript has 3 exons.